CAAUCUCAGUUCAGACUGCAGGCUGCAACUCGCCUGCACGAAGUCGGAAUUGCUAGUAAUCGUAGGUCAGCAUACUACGGUGAAUACGUUCCCGGGCCUUGUACACACCGCCCGUCAAACCAUGAGAGUUGGCAACACCCGAAGUCGGUAGUCUAACCGCAAGGAGGACGCCGCCGAAGGUGGGGUCGAUGAUUAGGGUUAAGUCGUAACAAGGUAAC
This 218-nucleotide ribosomal RNA is filed under the name uncultured bacterium. Its description in RNAcentral is "partial 16S ribosomal RNA". It matches the Rfam family "Bacterial small subunit ribosomal RNA", at positions 1283 to 1500 of the family's 1533-position model. The record is from RNAcentral.